RNAcentral lists this ribosomal RNA (465 nucleotides) under Vreelandella stevensii. RNAcentral describes it as "partial 16S ribosomal RNA". It matches the Rfam family "Bacterial small subunit ribosomal RNA", at positions 338 to 795 of the family's 1533-position model. Lineage: Bacteria; Pseudomonadati; Pseudomonadota; Gammaproteobacteria; Oceanospirillales; Halomonadaceae. The record is from RNAcentral.
CCUACGGGGGGCUGCAGUGGGGAAUAUUGGACAAUGGGCGAAAGCCUGAUCCAGCCAUGCCGCGUGUGUGAAGAAGGCCUUCGGGUUGUAAAGCACUUUCAGUGGGGAAGAAAGCCUUGGGGCUAAUACCCUCGAGGAAGGACAUCACCCACAGAAGAAGCACCGGCUAACUCCGUGCCAGCAGCCGCGGUAAUACGGAGGGUGCGAGCGUUAAUCGGAAUUACUGGGCGUAAAGCGCGCGUAGGCGGUCUGAUAAGCCGGUUGUGAAAGCCCCGGGCUCAACCUGGGAACGGCAUCCGGAACUGUCAGGCUAGAGUGCAGGAGAGGAAGGUAGAAUUCCCGGUGUAGCGGUGAAAUGCGUAGCGAUCGGGAGGAAUACCAGUGGCGAAGGCGGCCUUCUGGACUGACACUGACGCUGAGGUGCGAAAGCGUGGGUAGCAAACAGGAUUAGAUACCCUGGUAGUC